Molecule: unclassified non-coding RNA, 358 nt
Filed under: soil metagenome
Description: partial contains 5.8S ribosomal RNA, internal transcribed spacer 2, and large subunit ribosomal RNA
Rfam family: 5.8S ribosomal RNA (bases 1-120)
Source: RNAcentral
GAUGAAGAACGCAGCGAAAUGCGAUAAGUAAUGUGAAUUGCAGAAUUCAGUGAAUCAUCGAAUCUUUGAACGCACAUUGCGCCCGCCAGUAUUCUGGCGGGCAUGCCUGUCCGAGCGUCAUUUCAACCCUCGAACCCCUCCGGGGGGUCGGCGUUGGGGACCUCGGGAGCCCCUAAGACGGGAUCCCGGCCCCGAAAUACAGUGGCGGUCUCGCCGCAGCCUCUCCUGCGCAGUAGUUUGCACAACUCGCACCGGGAGCACGGCGCGUCCACGUCCGUAAAACACCCAACUUCUGAAAUGUUGACCUCGGAUCAGGUAGGAAUACCCGCUGAACUUAAGCAUAUCAAUAAGCGGAGGA